This 71-nucleotide transfer RNA is filed under the name Marmota monax (woodchuck). RNAcentral describes it as "tRNA.Ala". The record is from RNAcentral. Lineage: Eukaryota; Metazoa; Chordata; Mammalia; Rodentia; Sciuridae.
GGGGUUGUGGCUCAGUGGUAGACUGCUUGCCUGGCAUGCAUGGGGAACUGGGUUCGACCCUCAGCACCACA